AUGGGGGGCGGGCAUUCGAGGAGCGAGUCGAGGGAGGGGAGCGGGAACGGGCGGUACGCGCACUCCGCGUCCUUCCAGCAGCCGGCGGCGCCGCACUGGGGGCCGCCGGGGGCGGGAGGGUACCCGUACGGCGCCGGCCAGGACGCGCAGGGCGGGUACUACGGCGCGCCGCCGCAGCAGGGGGGCUACGCCGCGCCCUACCCGGCCUACCAGCCCGCGCCCGCCGCCGCGCAGCCGCCGCCCGCGCGGGCGGGAGGGGCCAACAAGCCACGCCUCGACCGGCGCUACUCGCGGAUCGCCGACGACUUCCGGUCCGUGGAGCAGGUUACUGAUGCUCUAGCUCAAGCUGGACUCGAGUCUUCGAAUCUCAUCGUGGGCAUUGAUUUCACAAAGAGCAAUGAAUGGACAGGAAAAUUCUCCUUCCAUGGCCGUAGUUUACAUCACAUCAGCAAUGUGCCAAAUCCUUAUGAACAAGGAAUCUCGAUUCUUGGACAGACAUUGUCUAAAUUUGAUGAAGAUAACUUGAUUCCCUGCUUCGGGUUUGGAGAUGCAUCUACACAUGACCAAGAUGUAUUCUGUUUUUACCCUGAUGAGAGACCUUGCAAUGGAUUCUCAGAAGCUCUUGAGCGAUACAGGGAGCUUGUUCCGCAUUUGCGCUUGGCUGGACCGACAUCUUUUGCACCAAUAAUUGAGAUGGCUAUGACCAUCGUGGAGCAAAGUGGUGGGCAGUACCAUGUUCUGCUGAUAAUUGCUGACGGACAGGUCACAAGGAGUGUAGAUACUGCAUCUGGGCAGCUGAGUUCCCAAGAGCAAAAGACUGUUGAUGCCAUUGUGAGGGCCAGUGAACUGCCGCUAUCUAUUGUGUUAGUAGGAGUUGGUGAUGGCCCAUGGGACAUGAUGAAGGAAUUUGAUGAUAACAUUCCUGCCCGGGCUUUUGAUAAUUUUCAAUUUGUGAACUUCUCGGAGAUAAUGUCCAAAAACAUGCCACAAUCAAGAAAAGAGGCAGCGUUUGCACUUUCAGCCUUGAUGGAGAUACCACAACAGUACAAAGCAACUGUGGAAUUAGGAAUAUUAGGUCGUCGCUCUAUGAAGGCUCCAGAAAGGGUUCCUCUGCCUCCUCCUGGUGGAAGCCAUGAUGCUUAUUCCUAUGGAACUAAAAGCUUUAGUAAACCUCAGCCUAGUACAUCUUCAUCAGCGUAUCCUCCCUAUGAAACUGCACAUAGUGCGGCCCCUGCUGCACCGUCUUCUGCUUAUGAUAAUCAGGUUUGCCCUAUCUGCCUUGUGAACCCGAAAGACAUGGCUUUUGGCUGUGGACACCAGACCUGCUGUGAAUGUGGACAGACUUUGGAGUCAUGCCCAAUCUGCCGGAGCCCAAUCACCACCAGAAUAAAGCUAUAUUAG
This 1401-nucleotide ribosomal RNA is filed under the name Triticum aestivum (bread wheat). Its description in RNAcentral is "partial small subunit ribosomal RNA". Lineage: Eukaryota; Viridiplantae; Streptophyta; Magnoliopsida; Poales; Poaceae. The record is from RNAcentral.